Calidris pugnax (ruff) is the source of this 465-nucleotide non-coding RNA. NCBI's taxonomy places the organism in Eukaryota, Metazoa, Chordata, Aves, Charadriiformes, Scolopacidae. The record is from the annotation of a RefSeq genome assembly.
GCAGAGGCAGAAGAAGAGGUGAAGGUGCAAGCAUCAGGUCCUUCAUGCUGGCAGGUCCCUGGGCACUGAAUGAAGGGAGAGCGUGACAUGGUCCUGAUUUUCCUGGCAGCCCUGGUGGAACUGGCAGACUUUGGUCAUGCCCAAAAGGACUCUGUGCUCCAGUUCCCACCAGAAAUGACCAUCCAGGCAGGACACAACGCAACUCUGCACUGCAACUUCUCCACUAGUUAUAACAAUCCCUACAUCUACUGGUACCAGCAGCACCAGGGCCAAUCCCCUCAGAUGCUGCUGUGGGUGUACAAAGGGAAACCUCGGGUGGAUUCAGGGAGGUUCUCCUCUGCAAUGUUUGUGGAGACCUCCCAGGUGCUUCUGCAUGUGCAGGACACCGAGCUCCAGGACAGCGGAGCCUAUUUCUGUGCACUCAGCCCACACUGGUGCCCACAGCUGGCAGCAGUGCACAGAAAG